GAUGAACGCUAGCGGCAGGCUUAAUACAUGCAAGUCGUGGGGCAGCAGGUCUGUAGCAAUACAGAUGCUGGCGACCGGCAAACGGGUGCGGAACACGUACACAACCUUCCUUUUAGUGGAGAAUAGCCCAGGGAAACUUGGAUUAAUACUCCGUAAUAUAUAGAAGUGGCAUCACUUUUAUAUUAGAGCAGCAAUGCGCUAGAAGAUGGGUGUGCGGCUGAUUAGAUAGUUGGCGGGGUAACGGGCCCGACCAAGUCGACGAUCAGUAACUGGUGUGAGAGCACGACCAGUCACACGGGC
This 300-nucleotide ribosomal RNA is filed under the name uncultured bacterium. RNAcentral describes it as "bacterial SSU rRNA". It matches the Rfam family "Bacterial small subunit ribosomal RNA", at positions 28 to 317 of the family's 1533-position model. The record is from RNAcentral.